Molecule: ribosomal RNA, 429 nt
Filed under: Acidobacteriota bacterium
Lineage: Bacteria; Pseudomonadati; Acidobacteriota
Description: Acidobacteria bacterium partial 16S ribosomal RNA
Rfam family: Bacterial small subunit ribosomal RNA
Source: RNAcentral
UGGGGAAUUUUGGACAAUGGGGGAAACCCUGAUCCAGCCAUCCCGCGUGUGCGAUGAAGGCCUUCGGGUUGUAAAGCACUUUUGGCAGGAAAGAAACGUCAUGGGUUAAUACCCCGUGAAACUGACGGUACCUGCAGAAUAAGCACCGGCUAACUACGUGCCAGCAGCCGCGGUAAUACGUAGGGUGCAAGCGUUAAUCGGAAUUACUGGGCGUAAAGCGUGCGCAGGCGGUUCGGAAAGAAAGAUGUGAAAUCCCAGAGCUCAACUUUGGAACUGCAUUUUUAACUACCGGGCUAGAGUGUGUCAGAGGGAGGUGGAAUUCCGCGUGUAGCAGUGAAAUGCGUAGAUAUGCGGAGGAACACCGAUGGCGAAGGCAGCCUCCUGGGAUAACACUGACGCUCAUGCACGAAAGCGUGGAGAGCAAACAGG